UGGCAAUGCACCAUUGUCGCCUCGAGCGAUGUACUGCUGCUGCCAACAGAGGAGACUUUCGUCCCUCAUUUUUUAUGCCAAACAUAUUUUUCCUCUCUCUCUUCAUCGGAUUUCGCCACUUGGUGCGAAUCCAAAAAUUCCUAAUUUUUAUAAAUAGGUCUUCCCUUCCCAUUCUUUCCCACAUUUCAAUUCUUCCAUUUUUCAAGAAUUAGAGAGGGACAAAGAGAGAGAGAGAGAUUGAGUGAUCUAGAGAGAGAAUGAAGGAAAGAAAAGAAGAGAAAUGAAAGAGAACAUAUCAAGGUUUCAGUAAGAAGUUUAGUAUUUCUCUAGACGUCUUAAUGAGUA
RNAcentral lists this long non-coding RNA (345 nucleotides) under Carica papaya (papaya). Its description in RNAcentral is "long non-coding RNA (CPAP_LNC009663)". The record is from RNAcentral. Lineage: Eukaryota; Viridiplantae; Streptophyta; Magnoliopsida; Brassicales; Caricaceae.